UUUCUUUGCUGGCGACCGGCGCACGGGUGAGUAACACGUAUCCAACCUGCCCUUUACUCGGGGAUAGCCUUUCGAAAGAAAGAUUAAUACCCGAUAGCAUAAUGAUUCCGCAUGGUUUCAUUAUUAAAGGAUUCCGGUAAAGGAUGGGGAUGCGCUCCAUUAGGUUGUUGGUGGGGUAACGGCCCACCAAGCCUUCGAUGGAUAGGGGUUCUGAGAGGAAGGUCCCCCACAUUGGAACUGAGACACGGUCCAA
This 253-nucleotide ribosomal RNA is filed under the name uncultured bacterium. RNAcentral's name for it is "partial 16S ribosomal RNA". It matches the Rfam family "Bacterial small subunit ribosomal RNA", at positions 80 to 334 of the family's 1533-position model. The record is from RNAcentral.